CCAGCAGUGGGAAAUAUUGCCCAAUGGGGGAAACUUGAUGCAGAAACGCGACCCGGGGGGGGACGCAUUUCGGUGUGUAAACUCCUUUUAUAUGGGAAGAUAAUGACGGUGCCAUAUGAAUAAGCACCGGCUAACUCCGUGCCAGCAGCCGCGGUAAUACGGAGGGUGCAAGCGUUACUCGGAAUCACUGGGCGUAAAGCGCGCGCAGGCGGCCUUUUAAGUUGUAUGUGAAAGCCUAUGGCUCAACCAUAGAACUGCAUCCAAAACUAUCAGGCUAGAGUGUGGGAGAGGAAGAUGGAAUUAGUUGUGUAGGGGUAAAAUCCGUAGAGAUAACUAGGAAUACCAAAAGCGAAGGCAAUCUUCUGGAACAUUACUGACGCUGAGGCGCGAAAGCGUGGGGAGCAAACAGGAUUAGAUACCC
This 421-nucleotide ribosomal RNA is filed under the name uncultured bacterium. RNAcentral describes it as "bacterial SSU rRNA". It matches the Rfam family "Bacterial small subunit ribosomal RNA", at positions 348 to 787 of the family's 1533-position model. The record is from RNAcentral.